CUAUGGCUUAACCAUAGAACUGCAUUUGAAACUACUAUUCUAGAGUGUGGGAGAGGUAGGUGGAAUUCUUGGUGUAGGGGUAAAAUCCGUAGAGAUCAAGAGGAAUACUCAUUGCGAAGGCGACCUGCUGGAACAUUACUGACGCUGAUUGCGCGAAAGCGUGGGGAGCAAACAGGAUUAGAUACCCUGGUAGUCCACGCCCUAAACGAUGGAUGCUAGUUGUUGGAGGGCUUAGUCUCUCCAGUAAUGCAGCUAACGCAUUAAGCAUCCCGCCUGGGGAGUACGGUCGCAAGAUUAAAACUCAAAGGAAUAGACGGGGACCCGCACAAGCGGUGGAGCAUGUGGUUUAAUUCGAAGAUACACGAAGAACCUUACCUAGGCUUGACAUUGAGAGAAUCCGCUAGAAAUAGUGGAGUGUCUAGCUUGCUAGACCUUGAAAACAGGUGCUGCACGGCUGUCGUCAGCUCGUGUCGUGAGAUGUUGGGUUAAGUCCCGCAACGAGCGCAACCCCCUUUCUUAGUUGCUAACAGGUUAUGCUGAGAACUCUAAGGAUACUGCCUCCGUAAGGAGGAGGAAGGUGGGGACGACGUCAAGUCAUCAUGGCCCUUACGCCUAGGGCUACACACGUGCUACAAUGGGGUGCACAAAGAGAAGCAAUACUGCGAAGUGGAGCCAAUCUUCAAAGCACCUCUCAGUUCGGAUUGUAGGCUGCAACUCGCCUGCAUGAAGCUGGAAUCGCUAGUAAUCGCAAAUCAGCCAUGUUGCGGUGAAUACGUUCCCGGGUCUUGUACUCACCGCCCGUCACACCAUGGGAGUUGUGUUUGCCUUAAGUCAGGAUGCUAAACUAGCUACUGCCCACGGCACACACAGCGACUGGGGUGAAGUCGUAACAAGGUAACCGUAGUGAACC
RNAcentral lists this ribosomal RNA (910 nucleotides) under Helicobacter pylori. RNAcentral's name for it is "bacterial SSU rRNA". It matches the Rfam family "Bacterial small subunit ribosomal RNA", at positions 602 to 1512 of the family's 1533-position model. The record is from RNAcentral. Lineage: Bacteria; Pseudomonadati; Campylobacterota; Epsilonproteobacteria; Campylobacterales; Helicobacteraceae.